UUCAAUUUUUGGAAACAA
Molecule: microRNA, 18 nt
Filed under: Corchorus olitorius
Lineage: Eukaryota; Viridiplantae; Streptophyta; Magnoliopsida; Malvales; Malvaceae
Description: oan-miR-13
Source: RNAcentral